Molecule: ribosomal RNA, 496 nt
Filed under: uncultured bacterium
Lineage: Bacteria
Description: partial 16S ribosomal RNA
Rfam family: Bacterial small subunit ribosomal RNA
Source: RNAcentral
AUGAACGCUGGCGGCGUGCCUAAUACCUGCAAGUCGAGCGAACAGACGAGGAGCUUGCUCCUCUGACGUUAGCGGCGGACGGGUGAGUAACACGUGGAUAACCUACCUAUAAGACUGGGAUAACUUCGGGAAACCGGAGCUAAUACCGGAUAAUAUAUUGAACCGCAUGGUUCAAUAGUGAAAGACGGUUUUGCUGUCACUUAUAGAUGGAUCCGCGCCGCAUUAGCUAGUUGGUAAGGUAACGGCUUACCAAGGCAACGAUGCGUAGCCGACCUGAGAGGGUGAUCGGCCACACUGGAACUGAGACACGGUCCAGACUCCUAAGGGAGGCAGCAGUAGGGAAUCUUCCGCAAUGGGCGAAAGCCUGACGGAGCAACGCCGCGUGAGUGAUGAAGGUCUUCGGAUCGUAAAACUCUGUUAUUAGGGAAGAACAAAUGUGUAAGUAACUAUGCACGUCUUGACGGUACCUAAUCAGAAAGCCACGGCUAACUACGUG